AGCUGUAACACUCACUGGGAAGGUCUGCGGAUUCACUACUGAUGUCAAGUGGGACCAUGAACCCACCAGAAGGAAGAAACUCUGGACACAUCUGAACAUCUGAAGGAACAAACUCUGGACACACCAUCUUUAAGAACUACAACACUCACCCCAAGGGUCCACAGCUUCAUUCUUGAAGUCAGCAAGACUAAGAACCCACCAGAAGGAACAAAUUCUGGUCACACCAUGGGGAUUGGAAUAUAGUCUGUUGAAAUUGUGGGACCCAUCCACUCCUCACUAGAUUGUAUCCUCAACCCUAUCUGACCUUAUUGCUGCUCACACUCUGUGUCCCAGGAUGAAAUCUCAAGAUGAUGGAGGAGUGCCCCCUUUGACCUGAAGCACCUGCUCAGCUAGGAACCAAAUUCAAGGGGGAGGUGACUUGGACGCUGGCAAGUCUCGACCCGCCCCCCAAUAUACUGGGGAUUCAUGAUCCACAGAAAAAUAGAGAACACAGCCCUGCGACUAAAGCAAAGCCACACAGACAAGCCAUCAAAAUGUUGAGAGACUCAAAUAAAGAAGCACUGAAAUGUGUUAGCCACAUUCUUUUAAGCAGACUCCAUUUGCAGGAACACACACACACAAAGACACAAUACCACACAAACACAUGCAGAAAUCUGACACUCAUAACACUCCCACAGAAACACACAGCCCGGCAGCUUCUGAGGCUGUGUGUUUCUGUAGGAAGCCCCACCUUGGAGAGAGCAACCCCAGGGAACAGAGGCAGGCUCUAACUAAAAAUAUCAUGGGGGCAAGUUUCAUAAAGACUCACUCCUAGAACUCCUGGGCAGGCCUAAGGAAUCCUGCAGAUGAUUUUGGAUCCACAGGGAUUUUGUAGUUUAUUCCUGGGGCUCUGCUUGACAUUUCUUCAGGCUCACUCACAUCUUUCUCUCCUAGGAUCAUGGGAUUAUUCCAUGUAUCCCACAGAGAAGACAGGUGAGAGUCCACCAGCGCACCUCCACAGAGGUCUCUUUCUCCACAAGCUGCAGGGACUUGUCUCUUGCCAACAGUGACAUUCCUUGUGACACUUGCCAGAACUCAAAAUCAGGCAUGGUGCCCUGAGUCUAGCUCAUGCACAUUCGUGAGGCAGGCUCUGGCAUCCGGCUGUCAGAGCUGUCAGCCUGACUAAGCAGAGGAAAAUGCUGCAAGCAGAGCCGGCCUUGUAUCAGG
This 1206-nucleotide long non-coding RNA is filed under the name Homo sapiens (human). RNAcentral's name for it is "HSALNT0288685". Lineage: Eukaryota; Metazoa; Chordata; Mammalia; Primates; Hominidae. The record is from RNAcentral.